GUUGGGUGCAGUGGUGCACACCUGUAAUCCCAGCUAUUCAGGAGGCUGGGGCAGGAGGAUUGCAAGUUGGAAGCCAUCUGGGUAAUAUAGCAAGAUCAUGUCUUUA
This 106-nucleotide small RNA is filed under the name Marmota monax (woodchuck). The record is from RNAcentral. Lineage: Eukaryota; Metazoa; Chordata; Mammalia; Rodentia; Sciuridae.